UCUGCUAAUGGAAUAAGGUGUCAACCAGAU
This 30-nucleotide non-coding RNA is filed under the name Rattus norvegicus (Norway rat). The record is from RNAcentral. Lineage: Eukaryota; Metazoa; Chordata; Mammalia; Rodentia; Muridae.